Molecule: ribosomal RNA, 463 nt
Filed under: uncultured bacterium
Lineage: Bacteria
Description: partial 16S ribosomal RNA
Rfam family: Bacterial small subunit ribosomal RNA
Source: RNAcentral
GACGAACGCUGGCGGCGUGCUUAACACAUGCAAGUCGAACGGUGAACCUCUUCGGAGGGGAUCAGUGGCGAACGGGUGAGUAACACGUGGGCAACCUGCCCCCGGCUCUGGGAUAACUCCAAGAAAUUGGGGCUAAUACCGGAUGUUCACCGCUUCCCGCAUGGGUGGUGGUGGAAAGGGUUUCCGGCUGGGGAUGGGCCCGCGGCCUAUCAGCUUGUUGGUGGGGUAGUGGCCUACCAAGGCGACGACGGGUAGCCGGCCUGAGAGGGUGACCGGCCACACUGGGACUGAGACACGGCCCAGACUCCUACGGGAGGCAGCAGUGGGGAAUAUUGCGCAAUGGGCGGAAGCCUGACGCAGCGGCGCCGCGUGGGGGAUGACGGCCUUCGGGUUGUAAACCUCUUUCAGCAGGGACGAAGCGCAAGUGACGGUACCUGCAGAAGAAGCACCGGCCAACUACGUG